GAUGAACGCUGGCGGCGUGCCUAAUACAUGCAAGUCGAGCGAACAGACGAGGAGCUUGCUCCUCUGACGUUAGCGGCGGACGGGUGAGUAACACGUGGAUAACCUACCUAUAAGACUGGGAUAACUUCGGGAAACCGGAGCUAAUACCGGAUAAUAUAUUGAACCGCAUGGUUCAAUAGUGAAAGACGGUUUUGCUGUCACUUAUAGAUGGAUCCGCGCCGCAUUAGCUAGUUGGUAAGGUAACGGCUUACCAAGGCAACGAUGCGUAGCCGACCUGAGAGGGUGCAGGGCCACACUGGAAAUGAGAACCGUCCCAGCCCCCUAGGGGGGGCAGAAGUAGGAAAUUUUCCGAAAGGGGCGAAAGCUUGACGGACAAACGCCGGGGGGGUGAGGAAGUUCUUCGGAUCGUAAAACUUUGUUUUUAGGAAAAAAAAAAUGUUAAAGUAAAGAUGCACCUUUGGACGGUACCAAAACAAAAAGCCACGGCUAACUACGU
Molecule: ribosomal RNA, 496 nt
Filed under: uncultured bacterium
Lineage: Bacteria
Description: partial 16S ribosomal RNA
Rfam family: Bacterial small subunit ribosomal RNA
Source: RNAcentral